AUGGCCAGUACUGGAUAUAUAAGGGGGAGGGUCGUUCACUGUGGCUUUGCCCUGUGGUGUCACCCCAUGUCCCCUUCCUCACACAGCUGUCUUCUGUUUGUCCCUGUACAAAUAGUCUCUAAGGUGGUGUCAGAAUGGUGUGCAUGUGGAAGAGGAGGAAGGUUGCGUAACAUUAGUGUGUUUGCGUAUGCAGUGGAACAACAUACACUCAACUCCAGCUACUCCCUCCAGGACAGUUACACAACACAAAGUGAAGACGGUGUGAGAGUUUUAAAAAGUCUUCUUACUCAUUUGCAUUUCUUGUAUACUAGGUACAAUUAGUGUAAGUAAAAAGAGAAAAAGGGAACCAUACUAAUGCCUCAAAUUAUCUGUUAAACGAUGUUCUGUUAAGAAAUGCAGUCAGGGAGUGGUGUAAGAUGCAUGGUUAGUUAACUACUAACGAACUAGAAUGAACACUACCAUUUCUCAUUUAAAAAACACACAUAUUACACAAACAGAAUGUGGAAGUGGAAGUGAGACUUGGAAUUCAAAAUGUCUUGCACGGAAUCUCCAUGGAGAAUUGUAUGUUGUGUGUAUGACUCUGUGGGUCUGGGGAGACCAUGUCAUCAUCAUGUUCAGUAGUCUUGGUAAGCAUAGCAAGUUAACAAGCAGCAGUGGCUAAUAAUAUACUUGGCCUUGGACAGGGUAGCAGGUAACAUGAGUCUAAACACUCCAUAUGACCUCAGCCAAAGCUGGUUUUUAAGGUACAGUGUGUGCACGUCUGUUACAGCUUGUACUUAUCUGCACAAUUUUUGUUUUAUCUCCUAGGUUUUACUUGCUGCAUAUUUUAUGUCACUUUUGAAUGCAUGUAAAUAUGCAUAUCUACUUGCAUGCUUGUAAAAAAGUGUUAGGUAGUGGGACAGGCAGGUCACCUGAAGUGGUGUGAAAUUUCAUUUUCAAUUCAUAUAAUAGCCUGACACUAUAUUUGGUAUUCCUGAAUGUCGCACAACACUUUGCACUAAUAGUGUCUAAUUACAUUAACUAACUGAAUUUACUGCAAUGCACUUGAUGCCUAAAUGCAUGGAAAAUGCAACUCUGCAGGUCUGUUAUGUGUCAGAAUGGCACGUGUCCAUCAAAUGAUGUUAUAGUUUGUCCAGUUGAGUCUAAGAUUGGAGAGAACAUAUGAAACAUUAGCUAAUCAACCAAUACUAACUGCUACCAAAAACUGCAGCAGUACCUAAGAAAUAGUGAAGCAUUUGAGUUUAUUUUGUAACUGAAUCAAGUAUGAGGUGAUGUCAGAAACGAAGACUUGUUUUUAUGAGUUUGUGUAUGUUUUUGUCAAACUCUCAUGACCCUCAUCUCUCUCUCUUUUCAACACUCCUGAAUCCCAUCCUCCGUCGCUCCCUCCAUGUCUCUGGGUUGUAUUGCAUUGACUCAGCAAAGAACUCGAUCAGUGAAGUUGAUAUAAAUCAGAAUUUGAUGUUAAUGAUUAAUGACAGAACUUAGCAUGAUGCAUAUGGAUACAGAUUAAGUAAACGAGUAGUAAAUUGAUUGUACACUAUAAAACUUUUCAAUAACUGUACAGCAUUAUAUUUCAAUUGCUUUUAAUGAGUUUAAUGAGUUUCACUCUAUGUGAGAAUGCCACAUGAACUUGAGAACCACACAAUCCAACUCAAAAUGUUUCAUAUGUUAUACACGGCAAGAAUAUACUUACAGACUUUCCCCUUUCAUAUCCAUCGUAGUGUGAGCCUGCUAAUGUAACUACAGAUAAUUAUUCUGACACCUUGGUUCAUACUGUUUCACUCUCUAAGUGUGUGACUGCAGUCUAGAUACUUACAUAAGUACAUAAGGAGUGUAUCGUGUCUACACUUGGCAUGUGUUGCAUAAAAUGUGAUAUGAUCGAGUGAGUGUAUUAAUGUGCAUCUCAGUGAGUCCACCAGUACACAGUGUGCCUGCAAUUUAACACAUUAUUUAUAUAAUUAUGGAGGAUUUCUCUCUCUAAAUAAUUAUACAGUGCAUAUGAAAUACUAUUAUUUUUUUGAAGAUUUGGUAAAUAUUUUACUGCAUUGUUGAUGUGCAUUUAUGAAAUCCAUAGACAGAAGAUUAUAAUGCUGUGUAUUAUAGAUUAAAAUAUUGACAGCAUAAUUGAACAUUUCUGAAAAGUCUAUUUCGAAGAAAAAUAUAUUAACCCAACAUUUUUUAUUUUGUGACACAUUCUUAUUCUCGCUCUCUGUGAUUGUAGCCAGUGGACUUUUCUCAUGAAAUGAGUACCUGACUGAACUAUAAUUGCUGGUUCAACACAUUUAUGUGGAUUUACUGAUGUUUGUGUGGCUUCAGUAAGACGUAGAAUGUUAUUCUGUGCUCAGGAAGCAGAUGUACAUCAUAUAAAGUGAUGCAUUGUUAUUAUUUGUGUUUCAGAUCCUGUAGAUACAGAAUUCUAGAACUGCCAAUCAGUAGAGACAGAACAACCAACAACUCUCCCUGAUGGCCACCUGCUGCCACUGCAAUCUGAAAACAAGAAAGGAGAGUGAUGUGAGGAUUAUGAGAAUGUGAUAAAACAAGAAAUGAGAUGAUAGAAUAUGUUGUUAAGCAGUUAUUAAUCAAUAAAUGAAUUAAAUCAUGAGGGAGUUGUGUUGUU
Long non-coding RNA from Cyprinus carpio (common carp), 2617 nucleotides. Lineage: Eukaryota; Metazoa; Chordata; Actinopteri; Cypriniformes; Cyprinidae. The record is from Ensembl.